RNAcentral lists this long non-coding RNA (1357 nucleotides) under Setaria italica (foxtail millet). RNAcentral's name for it is "long non-coding RNA (SITA_LNC000547)". The record is from RNAcentral. Lineage: Eukaryota; Viridiplantae; Streptophyta; Magnoliopsida; Poales; Poaceae.
GUAAACACCAUGGAAGCACGGUUGAAUUAGUAAACAACAUGAAAUCCAGCAAGUAAACAACAUAAUAAUAGAUUUCCAUAUUGAAAUAAUCUAAAAAUCAACAAUGUACACCUUCAGUGCAUUGUAGCUGUCUGCGUCCCUAGCAACUGCAACAUCUCUAUUGGCAAUUUCCUAAGCAACCAUGUGAGGGAUAUGGGUACCCCAUAGGUCCCUACCGACCAAGAUGCUGGCCGGACCUGACAAGUGGGCCGUCCGACAAGGGUGUGCGGGCCAAGGACACGAAGUUAGUUGGAGUGCACAACAAGGCAACUAGACUGUCCAAAUGUACUCGGAUGUUGUGGGACGCAUAUUGUAAUCCGACUUAGAAUACUUUCCAUGUAAAGAACGAGUAGAUUAGAUUCAAACCGACUUGUAACCCUUGAUCAUCAGACUAUAUAAGACGGCCAAGGGUACCCCCGAGCACAACGCAACUCAUACCAAGCAAUACAAUCCACGCACACACACAGGACGUAGAGUAUUACUCUUCGGAGGCCUGAACCUGUCUAAAACCCCCUAUAUCCCUUCGUGUUCUUGCGAUCACCGUCGAGUUCUUGGUUUCGUAAUCGCCCUCACCUACAAAAUCAACCACUCCCUGGUGGACUGCCGGAUCUACAACUCCGACACCAUGAAUAUGCCUUUGUAGGUAACGCAGAGCGCAAUAUUGUUGUCAUUAACCGCUUUUCCUUGGUUCCUGAGGUUAUGGGAACUGGGUACACAACGUCAUGCAAGAUUAAUGUGCCAUGAGUUGAAAUCACACGAUGCUAAUGUUAAUCUAGUCAAAAUUGUGUUAAUCCAGUCAAAAUUGUGGAAUUUGAAAACCAUAACCCUGGAUAUAACUGUAGAUUAAAUCAAUCCUUCAGAACAUAAAAAAGAUUAAAUAAAACUAGAAUGAAUCCGAACACUACUUGGGCCAGACAAAUAAAGGGUAGCACUUAUUCACUCAUUAUCAGAAAUUGUAAAGUUUUGCAAUGGGCAAUGGCAACUACUUUAUUAUAUAUUGUGAGUAGUAUUUUAGCUCUUAUAUGUGCUCGCAAGAAAAACAGAGACACAAGAGCAUGAACACUUUAUUUCUGGGCAUAAUGCAAAUACUAAAGUAGAUUCCUAUUUUAUGGGUUCCAGGGAGGGCAUUCUCAUGUGGAAGCAAAUUCUUUCAAGAUUAACAAACUCUCACCUGAAAAGACAUGAUGUUAGCGAGGACAUUCUCAUGUGGAAGCAAAUUCUUUCAAGAUUAACAAACUCUCACCUGAAAAGACAUGAUGUUAGCAAUGAUCUAAUAUUCAGUAUCGACCCAGCAAAUAGAGCCAUAGAGGCAUUAGGC